UUUUUGUACGAAAGGAAAGAAGCACUCUCCUUGACAAGAAUGGAGGAGGCCCUCGGGCCUCAGAACACGAAUACCGUGAAAGCACUGCCACCUCCUUUGUGGCUUUCUCCACUUCUGGGU
Small nuclear RNA from Equus asinus (donkey), 120 nucleotides. The record is from Ensembl. NCBI's taxonomy places the organism in Eukaryota, Metazoa, Chordata, Mammalia, Perissodactyla, Equidae.